UCGAUUCUUUUGGGAACAUAAUAAAAAAGUAAUCGGCAAGGUCUGCUGAGACUGUGGGCUACAUACCCGCAUUCCCUGCAUUCUAGACAUCGCCCUGAGUGGCCUUAGGGCCCUUAGGGUCCUCAUUGUUUUGAAGGCUUGGAUCCCGCCAGCGCCACAGAGCGACGCUACGAAGUUAAUGAGUGACACCUGCGAGCGAGAAACGAGAGCGGAUCACAGCAACAGGAAACCAUUGAAGCGGAUUUAAAAUAAUGCAGGAGUCCGUCCCAUCUGUAGAGAUCGUUCCAUUUAAAUAGUGUAUGAUACACAUUGUUAGAUACAACAAAUAUCCAGAGCAGGGGGACGAAGACAUUGAUAGAAACCAGAUAUGGCACAAGUAGCAGUUCACAGAGAAUGGAUUUCAUUGUACGCAAUCAAGUGAAUACGAUCGACAAUGCAGAGAGCAAUGAAUGAAUUGAUGAGAGUUAUUAUUAGUUACGAGCAUGAUAAUCAGCUCCAUCCUGAAACAGAUGAAAAG
Molecule: long non-coding RNA, 517 nt
Filed under: Apis florea (little honeybee)
Lineage: Eukaryota; Metazoa; Arthropoda; Insecta; Hymenoptera; Apidae
Description: uncharacterized LOC105736649, transcript variant X3
Source: RNAcentral